GGGGUUGUAGCUCAGAGGUAGAGCACUUGCCUAGCACGUGUGAGGCACUGAGUUCGAUCCUCAGUACCA
RNAcentral lists this transfer RNA (69 nucleotides) under Ictidomys tridecemlineatus (thirteen-lined ground squirrel). Its description in RNAcentral is "Spermophilus tridecemlineatus (thirteen-lined ground squirrel) tRNA". It matches the Rfam family "tRNA". Rfam says of the family: Transfer RNA (tRNA) molecules are approximately 80 nucleotides in length. Their secondary structure includes four short double-helical elements and three loops (D, anti-codon, and T loops). Lineage: Eukaryota; Metazoa; Chordata; Mammalia; Rodentia; Sciuridae. The record is from Rfam by way of RNAcentral.